GAUGAACGCUGGCGGCGUGCCUAAUACAUGCAAGUCGAGCGAACAGACGCGGAGCUUGCUCCUCUGACGUUAGCGGCGGACGGGUGAGUAACACGUGGAUAACCUACCUAUAAGACUGGGAUAACUUCGGGAAACCGGAGCUAAUACCGGAUAAUAUAUUGAACCGCAUGGUUCAAUAGUGAAAGACGGUUUUGCUGUCACUUAUAGAUGGAUCCGCGCCGCAUUAGCUAGUUGGUAAGGUAACGGCUUACCAAGGCAACGAUGCGUAGCCGACCUGAGAGAGUGAUCGGCCACACUGGAACUGAGACACGGUCCAGACUCCUACGGGAGGCAGCAGUAGGGAAUCUUCCGCAAUGGGCGAAAGCUUGACGGAGCAACGCCGCGUGAGUGAUGAAGGUCUUCGGAUCGUAAAACUCUGUUAUUAGGGAAGAACAAAUGUGUAAGUAACUAUGCACGUCUUGACGGUACCUAAUCAGAAAGCCACGGCUAACUACGUG
RNAcentral lists this ribosomal RNA (497 nucleotides) under uncultured bacterium. Its description in RNAcentral is "partial 16S ribosomal RNA". It matches the Rfam family "Bacterial small subunit ribosomal RNA", at positions 28 to 507 of the family's 1533-position model. The record is from RNAcentral.